GGAAGAAUAUUUUCUGCUGUUCUGUAUCCCUUCGCUCAAAUUAACAAUGGCAUGAUUUUCGCCAAUACAAUAUGAUCAAAAUUUAAGAAUCCCUGUUUUUAUGUCGUCUUAUUUUAGCUUCGGUGUGAAGCUGAGAAGGGGCCACUGAGCCACUUACAAUACUUUAUCCAAAGACAAGAAAAGGUAUAAGUUCUGAGCGUUCACAGCAAAGUGGCUGAACAGAUUCUACAACCAUUGAUCCACACAAAACAUCAUAUGCACAUCUAUUUUGAUUAGCUGCAGCGGUAACAAAUGGCAAAGGAAAUAAAAAUGCAAAAAACAAAUUUUUAGUUAAAGAACGCAACACAGAUCUCUUCCAACCUAAAUCACCACCAGGUGUAAGAGCAAUAUUAUCUUGUGGUUGACCUCUUAUAUGACAUAUUUUUUCAGCACGUACAACUGAUAGAUCUAAUAACAUUUUUCCUAUUGUAGCACCUCCAUGGUAAGUACUUCCUCCUUGUAACCAAUACACCUGAAAA
Long non-coding RNA from Daktulosphaira vitifoliae (grape phylloxera), 518 nucleotides. RefSeq lists it as uncharacterized. Lineage: Eukaryota; Metazoa; Arthropoda; Insecta; Hemiptera; Phylloxeridae. The record is from RefSeq and is a predicted model, not a curated record. The transcript has 3 exons.